This 461-nucleotide ribosomal RNA is filed under the name uncultured bacterium. RNAcentral describes it as "partial 16S ribosomal RNA". The record is from RNAcentral.
ACGGUUACCUUGUUACGACUUAGCCCCAGUCACCGAUUUCGCUCUAGGGCGCGCCUCCCGGCGACGCACUUCAAGCGCCCUCGGCUCCCAUGGCUUGACGGGCGGUGUGUACAAGGCCCGGGAACGUAUUCACCGCGCCAUGGCUGAUGCGCGAUUACUAGCGAAUCCAGCUUCACGGAGUCGGGUUGCAGACUCCGAUCCGAACUGAGAGGGGCUUUCGGGUUCCGCUCGGCGUCGCCGCCUGGCUUCCCGCUGUACCCCCCAUUGUAACACGUGUGUCGCCCCGGACGUAAGGGCCGUGCUGAUUUGACGUCAUCCCCGCCUUCCUCGCGGCUUGCGCCGGCAGUCCGUGCAGAGUCCCCAGCCCCACCUGCUGGCAACUGCACGCGGGGGUUGCGCUCGUUAUGGCACUUAAGCCGACACCUCACGGCACGAGCUGACGACAACCAUGCAGCACCUCG